Molecule: ribosomal RNA, 387 nt
Filed under: Triticum aestivum (bread wheat)
Lineage: Eukaryota; Viridiplantae; Streptophyta; Magnoliopsida; Poales; Poaceae
Description: partial small subunit ribosomal RNA
Source: RNAcentral
AUGCCGGCCGAGGAGCUGCGCCACGGCCCCGUCGGCGCCUUCUCCUGGCUCGGCAUCGCCUUCCUCACCGUCAACUCGGCCAUGGCGAUCCACAGGUCCAAAGGCGACCCGUCCGCGGUCGGCUUCGUGGCCUUCUCCUACCUCGACCUCGUACUGCUCUUCUACUUCCAUAGGAGGUUCGAGAGCGCCGCGCCCGGCUCACCGGCGAGACGGAGGCUCAAGGUGGCCGUCUGGGUCCUCACCACCAUGCUCACGGCCGUUCUAAGCUAUAAGGUGGCGGCUAUCAUGCCGCUGCCAGUGCAGAUCCUCGUUUGGGCCAUGGCCGGCGCCGCCACAGCAGGAGGAUUCUACGCCUUCUUCCUGUUCCGGGAAGGCAAGGAUGGUUAA